Molecule: long non-coding RNA, 277 nt
Organism: Zalophus californianus (California sea lion)
Lineage: Eukaryota; Metazoa; Chordata; Mammalia; Carnivora; Otariidae
Exons: 3
Source: RefSeq, a predicted model, not a curated record
GGAGCAUUCGAUGGCCGGCCCUUCCAGCUAGCCUUGCACUGCGGGCCCCGGGCUGGGGGACGCCACACCAAGCAUCAGGUCAGCAGUUUCCCGGACCUCCGUGAGCUCCUGGUAACGGGCACCAUGAAAGUGGACCUAGAGACCCUGCUGGCCUUGCAACAGGCCAACAUCAUAGCCAAUUACACUCAGGCACGCCCAGCAGCGUCUCCAUGGGACCCAUGGGAAGAUGCUGAGCUCUCGCUGUGCAGGCUCACGGACCAUCAUGGCUUUCUGCAGU